RNAcentral lists this ribosomal RNA (208 nucleotides) under uncultured bacterium. RNAcentral's name for it is "partial 16S ribosomal RNA". It matches the Rfam family "Bacterial small subunit ribosomal RNA", at positions 568 to 774 of the family's 1533-position model. The record is from RNAcentral.
CACGUAGGCGGAUGUGUCAGUCAGGGGUGAAAUCCCGGAGCUCAACUUCGGAACUGCCCUUGAUACAGCACAUCUGGAGUCCGGAAGAGGUGGGUGGAAUUCCUAGUGUAGAGGUGAAAUUCGUAGAUAUUAGGAAGAACACCGGUGGCGAAGGCGGCCCACUGGUCCGGUACUGACGCUGAGGUGCGAAAGCGUGGGGAAGCAAACA